UACGGAGGAUGCGAGCGUUAUCCGGAUUUAUUGGGUUUAAAGGGUGCGCAGGCGGGAGAUCAAGUCAGCGGUAAAAUGUCGGGGCUCAACCCCGGCCGGCCGUUGAAACUGGUUUUCUAGAGUUGGAGAGAAGUAUGCGGAAUUCGUGGUGUAGCGGUGAAAUGCAUAGAUAUCACGAAGAACUCCGAUUGCGAAGGCAGCAUACCGGCUCCAUACUGACGCUGAGGCACGAAAGCGUGGGGAUCGAACAGG
Molecule: ribosomal RNA, 252 nt
Filed under: uncultured bacterium
Lineage: Bacteria
Description: partial 16S ribosomal RNA
Rfam family: Bacterial small subunit ribosomal RNA
Source: RNAcentral